This 24-nucleotide non-coding RNA is filed under the name Arabidopsis thaliana (thale cress). The record is from RNAcentral. Lineage: Eukaryota; Viridiplantae; Streptophyta; Magnoliopsida; Brassicales; Brassicaceae.
UGUCAAUCCAAAUGGGUGUGAUGC